Molecule: ribosomal RNA, 467 nt
Filed under: uncultured bacterium
Lineage: Bacteria
Description: partial 16S ribosomal RNA
Rfam family: Bacterial small subunit ribosomal RNA
Source: RNAcentral
GACGAACGCUGGCGGCGUGCUUAACACAUGCAAGUCGAACGGAAAGGCCCUGCUUUUGUGGGGUGCUCGAGUGGCGAACGGGUGAGUAACACGUGAGUAACCUGCCCUUGACUUUGGGAUAACUUCAGGAAACUGGGGCUAAUACCGGAUAGGAGCUCCUGCUGCAUGGUGGGGGUUGGAAAGUUUCGGCGGUUGGGGAUGGACUCGCGGCUUAUCAGCUUAUUGGUGGGGUAGUGGCUUACCAAGGCUUUGACGGGUAGCCGGCCUGAGAGGGUGACCGGCCACAUUGGGACUGAGAUACGGCCCAGACUCCUACGGGAGGCAGCAGUGGGGAAUAUUGCACAAUGGGCGGAAGCCUGAUGCAGCAACGCCGCGUGCGGGAUGACGGCCUUCGGGUUGUAAACCGCUUUCGCCUGUGACGAAGCGUGAGUGACGGUAAUGGGUAAAGAAGCACCGGCGAACUACGU